CAAUGGUCGGUACAGGAGGGUUGACCCAACCCGCGAGGGGGAGCUAAUCCCACAAAGCCGAUCGUAGUCCGGAUCGCAGUCUGCAACUCGACUGCGUGAAGUCGGAAUCGCUAGUAAUCGUGGAUCAGCAUGUCACGGUGAAUACGUUCCCGGGUCUU
Molecule: ribosomal RNA, 158 nt
Filed under: uncultured Rhodocyclaceae bacterium
Lineage: Bacteria; Pseudomonadati; Pseudomonadota; Betaproteobacteria; Rhodocyclales; Rhodocyclaceae
Description: partial 16S ribosomal RNA
Rfam family: Bacterial small subunit ribosomal RNA
Source: RNAcentral